CCGAGAGGUGUGUUUGUGCCUCCGAGUGCGGGAGCAGGCGGAUGCUGUUCUCUCGAUAUGGUGCCGGUGCCGGUGCCGAUGCCGAUGCCGAUGCCGAACGCAGCGCUUGUUCUUUGUUUCUUCAUAACCGCUGGUGAGUCUCUGAAUUUUACCAUCAUGGUGGAGCACAGACAAAUAAAUGCAACCGUGGGUGGAAAUGCGUUUUUUUUCAGUGUGGCCGUCGGAUGAGAUCUCCAGUGGAAGCUGGACCUUUAACGAGAAAACGGUCUGCCAGUGGAUCGGUCAAACCCUGUCUGUUGAUAAUUCUUAUUCGCGAGCCGAGCUGUUCACUAACAACGGGUCGCUACUGCUGAAGUUGGUGAACAAGUAUGACAGUGGGGAAUACCAGGUGAACAUGGUCCCAACCAAAGGCUCGCAAACCUCAGCGACCAUCACUCUCCAAGUCACUGGUCAGCAAAGUUGAAGUUCCCUUUCCCAUUCAUUUUUAAUUUUAUCAGAUAUACCUGGCUGUAAUUUCAUAAUUAUAUCGUAAAUAUGGAGGAAGGGAGGAGAAGAUGGCGGUGCGAUGCAGUGCGCGCGGCCGUUCUGAAUGAUAUCGUAUGUGUUAACUAGGGGCCAUGCACAAUCCUGAUUUGAUGGAGACAGCCGUGAGAAGCGCAGAGGAACACCUGAAACUUCUGAAAUGCCUGCUUUGCUGCCGCUGCUACUGUGCGAUCGAGAAUCUCCAGAAGGGAAGGCCCCAAAUCCUUGGCUUUGCCUAUUGCCUGUUGCUGGGGUUGGGGUCGAAGCGCUCGGCAGAAAUUGUGCUCGGUGUCGGAGAGCUGGCCGGAGGCUCGGAAUUUUCGGGCGGACUCGGAGUCGGACUGUGGUCGGAUGCUACAUCGGCAAGUUUGUGGCGAUGGUGGUUCACCGUCUGCAUGAGAUGAUGGGACUUUCGAGAGACUUUGAGACUUUUACCGUGCCCAUGGUCUGUUCUUAUCAAAUUAUGGUAUUGCUUUGCACUGUUGUAACUAUAUGUUAUAACUAUGUGGUUUUUGUCAGUUUUUCAGUUGGUUUGUCAUGUAUUUCUGUGAUAUCAUUCUGGAAAAAUAUUGUAUCAUUUCUUAAUGCAUGCAUUACUAAAUGACAAUAAAAGAGGACUGCAUGUCCUCAUAAUCUAAUCUAAUCUAAUCUAAAUAGAUGCUAUUUAAAAAGUGGCUCACCUGAGGACUGGGAGAAAUUCAGAGUUCAGCAGAGGAGGACAAAGGGCUUAAUUAGGAAGGGGAAAAAAGAUUAUGAGAGAAAACUGGCAAGGAACAUAAAAACUGGCUGUAAAAGCUUUUAUAGAUAUGUAAAAAGGAAAAGACUGGUUAAGACAAAUGUAGGUCCCCCACAGACAGAAACAGGUGAACUGAUUAUGGGGAGCAAGGACAUGGCCAACCAAUUGAAUAAUUACUUUGGUUCUGUCUUCACUAAGGAGGACAUAAAUAAUCUUCCAGAAAUAGUAGGGGACGGAGGGUCCAGUGAGAUGGAGGAACUGAGCGAAAUACAUGUUAGUAGGGAAGUGGUGUUAGGUAAAUUGAAGGGAUUAAAGGGAGAUAAAUCCCCAGGGCCAGAUGGUCUGCAUCCCAGAGUGCUUAAGGAAGUAGUCCAGGAAAUACUGAAUGCAUUAGUGAUAAUUUUUCAAAACUCAUUAGAUUCUGGACAAGUUCUUGAGGAUUGGAGGGUGGCUAAUGUAACCCCACUUUUUAAAAAAGGAGGGAGAGAGAAACCGGGGAAUUAUAGACCGGUUAGCCUAACGUCGGUGGUGGGGAAACUGCUGGAGUCAGUUAGCAAAGAUGUGAUAACAGCACAUUUGGAAAGCGAUGAAAUCAUCGGACAAAGUCAGCAUGGAUUUGUGAAAGGAAAAUCAUGUCUGACGAAUCUCAUAGAAUUUUUUGAGGAUGUAACUAGGAGAGUGGAUGGGGAGAACCAGUGGAUGUGGUAUAUUUGGAUUUUCAGAAGGCUUUUAACAAGGUCCCACACAGGAGAUUAGUGUGCAAACUUAAAGCACAUGGUAUUGGGGGUAAGGUAUUCAUGUGGGUAGAGAAUUGGUUAGCAGACAGGAAGCAAAGAGUGGGAAUAAACGAGACCUUUUCAGAAUGGCAGGCAGUGACUGGUGGGGUACCGCAAGGCUCAGUGCUGGGACCCCAGUUGUUUACAAUAUAUAUUAAUGACUUGGAUGAGGGAAUUAAAUGCAGCAUCUCCAAGUUUGCUGACGACACGAAGCUGGGCGGCAGUGUUAGCUGUGAGGAGGAUGCUAAGAGGAUGCAGGGUGACUUGGAUAGGUUGGGUGAGUGGGCAAAUUCAUGGCAGAUGCAAUUUAAUGUGGAUAAAUGUGAAGUUAUCCACUUUGGUGGCAAAAAUAGGAAAACAAAUUAUUAUCUGAAUGGUGGCCGAUUAGGAAAAGGGGAGGUGCAACGAGACCUGGGUGUCAUUAUACACCAGUCAUUGAAAGUGGGCAUGCAGGUGCAGCAGACGGUGAAAAAGGCGAAUGGUAUGCUGGCAUUUAUAGCAAGAGGAUUCGAGUACAGGAGCAGGGAGGUACUACUGCAGUUGUACAAGGCCUUGGUGAGACCACACCUGGAGUAUUGUGUGCAGUUUUGGUCCCCUAAUCUGAGGAAAGGCAUCCUUGCCAUAGAGGGAGUAUAAAGAAGGUUCACCAGAUUGAUUCCUGGGAUGGCAGGACUUUCAUGUGAUGAAAGACUGCAUGAACUAGGCUUGUACUCGUUGGAAUUUAGAAGAUUGAGGGGGGAUCUGAUUGAAAUGUAUAAAAUCCUAAAGGGAUUGGACAGGCUAGAUGCAGGAAGAUUGUUCCCGAUGUUGGGGAAGUCCAGAACGAGGGGUCACAGUUUGAGGAUAAAGGCGAAGCCUUUUAGGACUGAGAUUAGGAAAAACUUCUUCACACAGAGAGUGGUGAAUCUGUGGAAUUCUCUGCCACAGGAAACAGUUUAGGCCAGUUCAUUGGCUAUAUUUAAGAGGGAGUUAGAUAUGGCCCUUGUGGCUAUGGGGAUCAGGGGGUAUGGAGGGAGGGCUGGUGCAGGGUUCUGAGUUGGCUGAUCAGCCAUGAUCAUAAUAAAUGGUGGUGCAGGCUCGAAGGGCCGAAUGGCCUACUCCUGCACCUAUUUUCUAUGUUUUCUAUGUUUUCUAUUAAUCUGUUCUGAAAGGGAUUUAAACCUAAAAUUUUGUCAAUGGCAUCAGUAGGGUGUGAAAUUGGGAAGGUAGGCAGCGUGGUAUUUAAAAAGUUCUUAUGAGUAAAUAUCUAAAGAAGUGGGAUCUGGACAAAUUAAAUUUAUUAGAUAACUGUUCAAAAGACAUGAAACAGUUAUUCAGAAAUAAGUCACAAAAACAUGUUAUACCUUUCAUUUUCCAUAUCAAAAAGGCUUGAUCCAUAACCAAGGGGUGAAAAAAAAAUUAGAUAUAAUAGGGCUUGAUAAUAUAAAUUUGUUCAAACCAAAAAAUUUACGCAAUUGAAACCAUAUUUGUAAUGUAUGUUUAAUUAUUGGAUUAACCAUCUGUCUAUUCAAUUUAGAUAGUACAAAAGGAAAGUGAAGUUCCAAAGACAGGGUUCAGUGCUUGGUCCAUUGCUGUUUAUUUUGUAUAUAAACGAUAUAUGUAUGGUUUCUCAGACAUUAAAAUGUAUAUUAUUUGCUGACGAUGCAACUAUAUUUUGUAGUGGGGAACAUCAGAAACAACUUUUGGAUCCAAUGGAGAAAGAAUUAAAAAUUAUAAAGAAGGGGUUUGAUACUAACAAAUUAUCACGAAAACUAAGUAAAAUUAAAUUCAUAAUAUUUGGAAAUUGUGUGUCAAACUCAUAUAGUAAACUUGGAAUAAAUGAUAUCAAAAUUGAUAAGGCAUCUGAAACAAAAUUUUUAGGAGUGGUAACGGAUAAUAAAUUAAGCUGGAAACCACAUAAAAUUAUGUCAAAGCAAAAACGGGAAAAUUUAUUGCAAUACUGUACAAAGUGCAAGAUUUCUUAAAUCAGGAAUCUUUAUGUACGGGGUCUUUCUUUUGUUACAUUUAAAAUGGCGACUUUGUUAUGUUAAUCUGGGGAAUGUGGCUUUGUUAUGUUUUAACGCUGAAGAGAGUUUGCGCUAGCAGUUCGUUUUACUUUAAAUUGAGAUAGCAGCCUUCUAGUAGCCAAUGGGUGGUUAUGUAUCGUUUUGUUUUCGGAUACCAUGCUGUAUGAUAUGACUGUGGACUGAGUUUUGGCGGGGAGUCGAAGGAGAGACGGGGAGUCGGAGGAGAGACAGGGAGGACGGAGUAGAGACGGGGAGGACGGAGGAGAGACGAGGAGUCGGAGGAGAGACAGGGAGUCGGAGGGGAGACGGAGGAGAAACAGGGAGGACAGUGGAGAGACGGGGAGUCGGGGGAGAGACAGAGAGUCGGAGGAGGGACGAGGAGGACGGCGGACGUGUGGAGAGGCUCCGGUCAAUCACUCAGGGUGAUCCCGAGCUGUGAGUCGACAGGAUCCGGGUGGUCGUCUGAUGUCGAAUUGAGCUCCAACGGUAGCGCAUGAAGAACUUGGACUUUGAUAAGUGUUGGCGCCUUUUUUUUUCAUUACUUUCCUCUCUGUAUCAAAUGUAUAUUAAUGUCAUAGAAUUAGUAAUAUCUAUAAAGUGUAUUUGUUAAAAUUUACUGGGUGUGCUGGCUGAUGAUUGAUGUUGUGAUUGAAUCAGGCGGCGACUGACCCUGAGGGGAGUGUUGAAGCAGGUGCUGGGCUGGAUUUCCCCUAGACAUACACGAGCCAAUAUAACGGAACGUUACAUUUAUAUACACUUAUACACUGUUCACUUAUCAUCCCAUACAUGUCUUACUGUGUUGAGUUAUGGGGAAAUACAUAGAAAACAUUUACAAACUCGAUUUUAUUUUUAACUCCAAAAGAAAGUCAUACGAAUUGUAAAUAAGAUGAGCCAACCAAUCCACUAUUUAUUCAACUAAACCCUUUAAAAUUCAGAGAUUUCGUAGAUUUUAAAAUAAUACAAAUUAUGUAUAAAGUAAAAAAUGGAUAGUUACCACAUAGUAUUCAAAAUUGUUUAAAAUGACAACGUCAGCAUGAUUUGAGAGGGAUAGGUACAUUUCAAAAACAAAGGAUAAGAACAAAUGUAGAAAAAUGAUUGUAUUUCAGUCAGAGGGGUAAAUCUAUGGAACAGUUGUAGUGAGAAUUUAAAAACAUGUACCAUACUUAAGUUUAAAAAUUAUUUAAAAAUAAUUUAAUGUACAAAUAUAAAACACAUGAUUUAAAAUGAAUGGGAGUAAUGUAAAUAAAUGAAACUUGGAAUUGGAUUUUGUGUUAAAAGAUUAGGAAAAAUUUUGUUUUGAUGUGAUGAUUGAUGCCGAAUAUGUUAUUGUAUAAUUAAGAGGGGUAGGUGUGAUGAGCUGUAGGUUCCGCCUACAUUCUUCAGGUCUGUGUUAUUUAAUUUAAUUUUAUUUAUUAUUUAAUUUUGUUUUAUGACAUCAUUGUUGAAAAAUGAUGUUUUUGUUAUAUUUCUACUGACCGAAAUAAAAAAAUUUCUUUCAUCCAAAAAAAUUUCAUUGAUUUUAUUCGUACACUUUCCAACAUUGUAUUUCAUUUGCCACUUCUCUGCCCAUUCCCCUAAACUGUCUUAAGUCUCUCUGCAGUCUCUGCUUGCUCAACACUACCCGCUCCUCCACCAGUCUCCAGCCUCGGCUCAAGUCUGAAGACUCCAGCCUCGUCCUGCCUGCCAGCCAAGUCAUGUCCUUGCCUAAUUCUGGGGUCCGAUCCAGAGGCAAGACCCAGGUUCUGGGUCCUUGUCCAGUCUCUGGCUCAGAGUCCAAGCCCAGGCUCCUAGCUCUCUUGUCCAGUCCUGUUCCGGGUUCCCGGUUUUCGUAUCCAUGUCCUUGCCCUCACCCUGUAUCCUAGUCCUGUCCCUAGACUUCAGUGUCUGUGUCUUGCACUUGGGUCCGUUCCCAGCCACCUCCUUAUGGCAGUCACGGAGCAGCCACCUUCACUGAGUUCACGUUUUUGAUGCCUGAUAUUCAUCUGUAAGGAGUUCACCAAUACUGUCCCAUCCCGAACUUCUGUCCUUAUGGUUUUCCAGUUUGAGCUCUCCUUCAGUGCUUCGCAUCCCUCCUGGCUACACACAUUGUCAAACACACGCAUAGGUACACAAAAAUGCACACUCACAAAACAAACACACACACACACACACACACACGCACACACAGAUACAGACAGAGAUACAAUGAACAGAACAAAGCCGCGCUGGCAGUGGUCAGAUGAGCACGUUCCUGAUGUACAAAUAUCAGAAACUCUGCAGAAGCUGGAACCGAGGACAACACACACACACAGACAAUGCUGUAAAAACUCUGCUGAGUUCCUCAAGAUUUUUUCUUUUGAUGUUUCUGAUGUAAUAGACUUUUGUGAGCAUCUCAAAUCUGCCAAAGGUCAAACGAACAUUGAGAAGAAAUCUUACAACCUGCAAAGAAAUGGCAGUCUUGUUAAAUAACAAAAAUAAACUGUUUUAUAUUGGCAGAUGAAUAGAUUCAGGGAGGCAUAAAGUGAAUCUCAAGCCUCAGAUACAAUGUUAGAUAUGCAUGUGAGAGAAAGACAGAGUCAACGAGACAGACAGAUUGACACUGGCACCGUCUGCACAGGUGACCUCAUACUACCGUCUGACUUACCUCUCCCUCACCGGCCGGGAUUCCCUCUUCUGCCCUCGGGGAAAUACUUUAAUCACGUCCGAAUUUCCUCCUGUCGACACACAAUGUGCGACACUUAAUAGUCCGAAUACCUGAUUCUGCUCCUGUACCUUACAAUCUUACAUUUGAUAGUGGUAAACUUGACGCCUACUAGAAUAUAGAAACAUAGAAACAUAGAAAAUAGGUGCAGGAGUAGGCCAUUCGGCCCUUCGAGCCUGCACCGCCAUUUAUUAUGAUCAUGGCUGAUCAUCCAACUCAGAACCCGCCCCAGCCUUCCCUCCAUACCCCCUGAUCGCCGUAGCCACAAGGGCC
RNA transcript from Mobula hypostoma (lesser devil ray), 6993 nucleotides. RefSeq lists it as uncharacterized. The transcript has 3 exons. The record is from RefSeq and is a predicted model, not a curated record. NCBI's taxonomy places the organism in Eukaryota, Metazoa, Chordata, Chondrichthyes, Myliobatiformes, Myliobatidae.